Molecule: ribosomal RNA, 253 nt
Filed under: uncultured bacterium
Lineage: Bacteria
Description: partial 16S ribosomal RNA
Rfam family: Bacterial small subunit ribosomal RNA
Source: RNAcentral
GACAGAGGGUGCAACCGUUGUUCGGAAUUACUGGGCGUAGAGAGCGCGCAGGCGGUCGAUCAAGUCGAGUGUGAAAGCCCCCGGCUCAACUGGGGAGGGUCAUUCGAUACUGAUCGACUCGAAGGCAGGAGAGGGUAGUGGAAUUCCCGGUGUAGUGGUGAAAUGCGUAGAUAUCGGGAGGAACACCAGUGGCGAAGGCGACUACCUGGCCUGUUCUUGACGCUGAGGCGCGAAAGCUAGGGGAGCAAACGGG